This 473-nucleotide ribosomal RNA is filed under the name bacterium 1611-S4-10-1.2. Its description in RNAcentral is "bacterial SSU rRNA". It matches the Rfam family "Bacterial small subunit ribosomal RNA", at positions 59 to 512 of the family's 1533-position model. The record is from RNAcentral.
CAGUCGAGCGGAACGAGUUAUCUGAACCUUCGGGGAACGAUAACGGCGUCGAGCGGCGGACGGGUGAGUAAUGCCUAGGAAAUUGCCCUGAUGUGGGGGAUAACCAUUGGAAACGAUGGCUAAUACCGCAUGAUGCCUACGGGCCAAAGAGGGGGACCUUCGGGCCUCUCGCGUCAGGAUAUGCCUAGGUGGGAUUAGCUAGUUGGUGAGGUAAGGGCUCACCAAGGCGACGAUCCCUAGCUGGUCUGAGAGGAUGAUCAGCCACACUGGAACUGAGACACGGUCCAGACUCCUACGGGAGGCAGCAGUGGGGAAUAUUGCACAAUGGGCGCAAGCCUGAUGCAGCCAUGCCGCGUGUAUGAAGAAGGCCUUCGGGUUGUAAAGUACUUUCAGUCGUGAGGAAGGCGGCGUCGUUAAUAGCGGCGUUGUUUGACGUUAGCGACAGAAGAAGCACCGGCUAACUCCGUGCCAGC